RNAcentral lists this ribosomal RNA (497 nucleotides) under uncultured bacterium. RNAcentral describes it as "partial 16S ribosomal RNA". It matches the Rfam family "Bacterial small subunit ribosomal RNA", at positions 28 to 507 of the family's 1533-position model. The record is from RNAcentral.
GACGAACGCUGGCGGCGUGCCUAAUACAUGCAAGUUGAGCGAUGAAGCUUGGUGCUUGCACCAAUUUGAAGAGCAGCGAACGGGUGAGUAACGCGUGGGGAAUCUGCCUUUGAGCGGGGGACGACAUUUGGAAACGAAUGCUAAUACCGCAUAACAACUUUAAACAUAAGUUUUAAGUUUGAAAGAUGCAAUUGCAUCACUCAAAGAUGAUCCCGCGUUGUAUUAGCUAGUUGGUGAGGUAAAGGCUCACCAAGGCGAUGAUACAUAGCCGACCUGAGAGGGUGAUCGGCCACAUUGGGACUGAGACACGGCCCAAACUCCUACGGGAGGCAGCAGUAGGGAAUCUUCGGCAAUGGACGAAAGUCUGACCGAGCAACGCCGCGUGAGUGAAGAAGGUUUUCGGAUCGUAAAACUCUGUUGGUAGAGAAGAACGUUGGUGAGAGUGGAAAGCUCAUCAAGUGACGGUAACUACCCAGAAAGGGACGGCUAACUACGUG